GUGCUCCUUCAGCUGCACAAAUACUAAAACUGGAACACUAUAGAGAAGAUUAGCAUGGCCCCUGUGCAAGGAUAACACACAAAUUCAUGAAGCGUUCCAUAUUAAA
Molecule: small nuclear RNA, 106 nt
Organism: Zalophus californianus (California sea lion)
Lineage: Eukaryota; Metazoa; Chordata; Mammalia; Carnivora; Otariidae
Source: Ensembl